Molecule: transfer RNA, 70 nt
Filed under: Sphaerodactylus townsendi
Lineage: Eukaryota; Metazoa; Chordata; Lepidosauria; Squamata; Sphaerodactylidae
Description: tRNA-Glu
Rfam family: tRNA
About the family: Transfer RNA (tRNA) molecules are approximately 80 nucleotides in length.
Source: RNAcentral
GGCUGUGGCUCAGUGGAAGAGCUUCGGCUUUUCAUGCAUAAGGUUCCAGGUUCAAUCCCCGGCAUUGCCA